This 1521-nucleotide ribosomal RNA is filed under the name Triticum aestivum (bread wheat). RNAcentral describes it as "partial small subunit ribosomal RNA". Lineage: Eukaryota; Viridiplantae; Streptophyta; Magnoliopsida; Poales; Poaceae. The record is from RNAcentral.
AUGGACUUCGUCUUCGUGGAGAAGCUCCUCGUGGGCCUCCUCGCGGCCGUGGUGGGCGCCAUCGUCGUGUCCAAGAUCCGGGGCCGCAAGCUGCGGCUGCCGCCGGGCCCCUUCCCGGUGCCCAUCUUCGGCAACUGGCUGCAGGUCGGCGACGACCUGAACCACCGCAACCUGGCGGCGAUGGCGCGCAAGUUCGGCGAGGUCUUCCUCCUCCGCAUGGGCCAGCGCAACCUGGUGGUGGUCUCCUCCCCGCCGCUGGCCCGCGAGGUGCUCCACACGCAGGGCGUGGAGUUCGGGUCCCGCACCCGCAACGUGGUGUUCGACAUCUUCACCGGCGAGGGCCAGGACAUGGUGUUCACCGUGUACGGCGACCACUGGCGCAAGAUGCGGCGCAUCAUGACCGUGCCCUUCUUCACCAACAAGGUGGUGCAGCAGUACCGGCCCGGGUGGGAGGCCGAGGCGGCCUUCGUGGUGGACAACGUCCGCGCCGACCCCAGGGCCGCCACCGAUGGCGUCGUGCUCCGCCGCCACCUGCAGCUCAUGAUGUACAACAACAUGUACCGCAUCAUGUUCGACCGGCGGUUCGAGAGCAUGGACGACCCGCUGUUCCUCCGCCUCCGGGCGCUCAACGGCGAGCGCAGCCGCCUCGCGCAGAGCUUCGAGUACAACUACGGCGACUUCAUCCCCGUCCUCCGCCCCUUCCUCCGCGGCUACCUCCGGCUCUGCAAGGAGGUCAAGGAGACCCGCCUCAAGCUCUUCAAGGAUUACUUCCUGGACGAGAGGAAGAAGCUGGUGAGCACCAAGGCCGUGGAAGACAACGGUGGGCUCAAGUGCGCCAUUGAUCACAUCCUGGAGGCGGAGCAGAAGGGGGAGAUCAACGAGGACAACGUCCUCUACAUCAUCGAGAACAUCAACGUCGCAGCGAUCGAGACGACGCUGUGGUCGAUCGAGUGGGGGCUGGCGGAGCUGGUGAACCACCCGGAGAUCCAGCAGAAGCUGCGGGACGAGAUGGACGCGGUGCUGGGCGUCGGGCACCAGAUCACGGAGCCCGACACGCACAAGCUCCCCUACCUGCAGGCGGUGAUCAAGGAGACGCUGCGGCUGCGCAUGGCCAUCCCGCUGCUGGUGCCCCACAUGAACCUCCACGACGCCAAGCUCGCCGGCUACAACAUCCCCGCCGAGAGCAAGAUCCUCGUCAACGCCUGGUUCCUCGCCAACAACCCCGAGCAGUGGAAGCGGCCCGACGAGUUCCGGCCGGAGCGCUUCCUGGAGGAGGAGAAGCACGUGGAGGCCAACGGCAACGACUUCAGGUACCUGCCCUUCGGCGUCGGCCGCCGGAGCUGCCCCGGCAUCAUCCUCGCGCUGCCCAUCCUCGGCAUCACCAUCGGCCGCCUCGUCCAGAACUUCGUGCUCACGCCGCCGCCCGGCCAGGACAAGCUUGACACGACUGAGAAGGGUGGCCAGUUCAGCCUCCACAUCCUCAAGCACUCCACCAUCGUCGCCAAGCCCAGAGUGUUCUAA